RNAcentral lists this small nuclear RNA (163 nucleotides) under Dasypus novemcinctus (nine-banded armadillo). RNAcentral describes it as "U1 spliceosomal RNA (ENSDNOG00000035895.1)". It matches the Rfam family "U1 spliceosomal RNA". Rfam says of the family: U1 is a small nuclear RNA (snRNA) component of the spliceosome (involved in pre-mRNA splicing). Its 5' end forms complementary base pairs with the 5' splice junction, thus defining the 5' donor site of an intron. The record is from RNAcentral. Lineage: Eukaryota; Metazoa; Chordata; Mammalia; Cingulata; Dasypodidae.
AUACUUACUUGGCAGGGAAGAUACCAUGAUCACGAAGGUGGUUUCCCAGGGUGAGGCAUAUCCAUUGCACUUCGGAUAUGCUGACCCCUGUGAUUUCCCCAAAUGUGUGAAACUUGACUGCAUAAUUUGUUGUAGUGGGGGACUGCAUUUGGGCUCUCCCCUA